UACAGAGGUCCCAAGCGUUGUUCGGAUUCACUGGGCGUAAAGGGUGCGUAGGUGGCUCUAUAAGUAUGGUGUGAAAUCUCCCGGCUUAACUGGGAGGGUGCGCCGUAGACUGUGGGGCUAGAGUGUGGGAGAGGAAAGUGGAAUUCCUGGUGUAGCGGUGAAAUGCGUAGAUAUCAGGAGGAACACCGGUGGUGUAAACGGCUUUCUGGACCAUAACUGACACUGAGGCACGAAAGCGUGGGUAGCAAACAGG
Molecule: ribosomal RNA, 253 nt
Filed under: uncultured bacterium
Lineage: Bacteria
Description: partial 16S ribosomal RNA
Rfam family: Bacterial small subunit ribosomal RNA
Source: RNAcentral